ACCUUCGUGGUGUAGUGGUUUAGCACACUCGACGCGUAACUGAGAGGUCAGUGGUUCGAGUCCCGGCGAAGGCG
This 74-nucleotide transfer RNA is filed under the name Stegodyphus mimosarum. It matches the Rfam family "tRNA". Rfam says of the family: Transfer RNA (tRNA) molecules are approximately 80 nucleotides in length. Their secondary structure includes four short double-helical elements and three loops (D, anti-codon, and T loops). The record is from Rfam by way of RNAcentral. Lineage: Eukaryota; Metazoa; Arthropoda; Arachnida; Araneae; Eresidae.